This 497-nucleotide ribosomal RNA is filed under the name uncultured bacterium. RNAcentral describes it as "partial 16S ribosomal RNA". It matches the Rfam family "Bacterial small subunit ribosomal RNA", at positions 28 to 507 of the family's 1533-position model. The record is from RNAcentral.
GAUGAACGCUGGCGGCGUGCCUAAUACAUGCAAGUCGAGCGAACAGACGAGGAGCUUGCUCCUCUGACGUUAGCGGCGGACGGGUGAGUAACACGUGGAUAACCUACCUAUUAGACUGGGAUAACUUCGGGAAACCGGAGCCAAUACCGGAUAAUAUAUUGAACCGGUUGGAUCAAUAGUGAAAGGCGGUUUUGCUGUCUCUUAUAGAUGGAUCCGCGCCGCAUUAGCUAGUUGGUAAGGUAAAGGCUUACCAAGGCAACGAUGCGUAGCCGACCUGAGAGGGUGAUCGGCCACACUGGAACUGAGACACGGUCCAGACUCCUACGGGAGGCAGCAGUAGGGAAUCUUGCGCAAUGGGCGCAAGCCUGACCGAGCAACGCCGCGUGAGUGAUGAAGGUCUUCGGAUCGUAAAGCUCUGUUAUUAGGAAAGAACAAAUGUGUAAUUAACUAUGCACGUCUUGACGGUACCUAAUCAGAAAGCCCCGGCUAACUACGUG